This 448-nucleotide ribosomal RNA is filed under the name uncultured bacterium. RNAcentral's name for it is "SSU rRNA". It matches the Rfam family "Bacterial small subunit ribosomal RNA", at positions 26 to 518 of the family's 1533-position model. The record is from RNAcentral.
AGAGCGAACGCUGGCGGCAUGCUUAACACAUGCAAGUCGCACGGGCAGCAAUGUCAGUGGCGGACGGGUGAGUAACGCGUAGGUAUCUAUCCUUGGGUGGGGGACAACUGUGGGAAACUACAGCUAAUACCGCAUAACAACUGAGGUUCAAAGGCGCAAGUCGCCUGAGGAGGAGCCUGCGUACGAUUAGCUAGUUGGUGGGGUAAAGGCCUACCAAGGCGACGAUCGUUAGCUGGUCUGAGAGGAUGAUCAGCCACAUUGGGACUGAGACACGGCCCAAACUCCUACGGGAGGCAGCAGUGGGGAAUAUUGGACAAUGGGCGAAAGCCUGAUCCAGCAAUGCCGCGUGUGUGAAGAAGGUCUUCGGAUUGUAAAGCACUUUCGACGGGGACGAUGAUGGACGGUACCCGUAGAACGACGCCCCGGCUAACUUCGCGCCAGCAGCCGC